Molecule: ribosomal RNA, 468 nt
Filed under: uncultured bacterium
Lineage: Bacteria
Description: partial 16S ribosomal RNA
Rfam family: Bacterial small subunit ribosomal RNA
Source: RNAcentral
GAUGAACGCUGGCGGCGUGCCUAACACAUGCAAGUCGAGCGAUUUACUUCGGUAAAGAGCGGCGGACGGGUGAGUAACGCGUGGGUAACCUGCCCUGUACACACGGAUAACAUACCGCAAGGUAUGCUAAUACGAGAUAAUAUACUUUUAUCGCAUGGUAGAAGUAUCAAAGCUUUUGCGGUACAGGAUGGACCCGCGUCUGAUUAGCUAGUUGGUAAGGUAACGGCUUACCAAGGCGACGAUCAGAAGCCGACCUGGGAGGGUGAUCGGCCACAUUGGAACUGAGACACGGUCCAAACUCCUACGGGAGGCAGCAGUGGGGAAUAUUGCACAAUGGGCGAAAGCCUGAUGCAGCAACGCCGCGUGAGCGAUGAAGGCCUUCGGGUCGUAAAGCUCUGUCCUCAAGGAAGAUAAUGACGGUACUUGAGGAGGAAGCCCCGGCUAACUACGUGCCAGCAGCCGCCGUAA